Molecule: ribosomal RNA, 253 nt
Filed under: uncultured bacterium
Lineage: Bacteria
Description: partial 16S ribosomal RNA
Rfam family: Bacterial small subunit ribosomal RNA
Source: RNAcentral
UACGGGGGGGGCAAGCGUUGUUCGGAAUUACUGGGCGUAAAGGGCGCGUAGGCGGAUUAGUAAGUUGGGAGUGAAAGCCCGGGGCUUAACCUCGGAACUGCUUUCAAAACUGCUAGUCUUGAGUGAAGUAGGGGAUGAUGGAAUUCCUAGUGUAGAGGUGAAAUUCUUAGAUAUUAGGAGGAACACCGGUGGCGAAGGCGGUCAUCUGGACUUCAACUGACGCUGAGGCGCGAAAGCGUGGGGAGCAAACAGG